Molecule: non-coding RNA, 29 nt
Filed under: Mus musculus (house mouse)
Lineage: Eukaryota; Metazoa; Chordata; Mammalia; Rodentia; Muridae
Source: RNAcentral
UAAUGACAAUAUUGGCCCAGCAGCCUACC